This 266-nucleotide unclassified non-coding RNA is filed under the name fungal sp. Its description in RNAcentral is "partial internal transcribed spacer region". The stretch from base 1 to 46 matches the Rfam family "Eukaryotic small subunit ribosomal RNA", at positions 1786 to 1831 of the family's 1831-position model. The record is from RNAcentral. Lineage: Eukaryota; Fungi.
AAGUCGUAACAAGGUUUCCGUAGGUGAACCUGCGGAAGGAUCAUUAGUGUGAUGAGAGCGUGCCUGGGGCCUUGGGUCUCGGGGCUCUUGCUCAGUCCUGUGCUGCGUGUUUUUGGUGGUGGUGGUGGCGGUGCUGCAUGCUGUCAUGGUGCGCGCCCGCCCACCCACACACACAUUUCACCCUUGUUUACCUGGUUGUCUGAUCACAUCUGUGCCCACGGCACAAACAACAUCGAAAACUGCCAGCAAUGGAUCACUCGGUUCUC